CAACUUUCACAUUAGUCUCCUGCAUUUUAUCCUUUGUAGCUUCACAUGUGAUCUGACUGAUGUAUUGCAAAUGAUUCCCUGGGCCUCUUUGUUGCCUCCUCAGUGCCCUUCGCUUGUCUUGAGGUGUCAAAAACACAUACUCCCUCGUACAGAUACACUAUUUCAUCCUGAGAUCUGCUCUCCACUAUGCUGAUAAUGAACAGUGUGUCGUGUCUUAAUAGGAUGCUUCCUGUCGAGCCAGGGCCACCUCGUAGAACACAGCCAGGCCGGCCUUGUCUCUGUCACCCCUGUCAUCUCACAUCAGAUCCUGUUUGACUCCAAAGCGGUGCUCUUUGGGUAAAACCAUUAACGGAGCCGACCGACACAAACAGGACCACAUUUUGACACUCAGCCGCCACCCUGACGUAACCGAGCACGACACCUGACGUGGGGAAAAGGUCACACGACUCGUCAAAGAGACAGGGGUGCCUCAGAUGGAGGACGCGAGGACUCAAAAAUGGACGCCUCCCGACAGUGAUGAUGGACACAUGGCUGAAGCAUGGCCUUCUGGGAGCGGUGGGAGGAGUGGAUGUCCUGCCGGGAACUGUCCCUUCCGGUUCCUCCGGUCCGCUGACGAGUUGUGUCCUCGCUGAUUUUGCAUGAUGAGACUCACACUAAGAUAAAAACAGGCAGCAGCUUCUUCCCUGUGACUGACUGACUGCAGUCCAAGGAGACCACUUGGCACCUGGAGUGACAGGCUGCCAUCAGCGUGUAAAGAUGCUAAUAUGAAUUCUGAUCACUCACUCAUAUAGGCAAGGGAAUUACUGCCCAUCACCAGCAUCUAGUGAUUCUCCACACAUGGCAAAGUCAAGGGGCACGGUGUAAAACCCAGGCAAAUGGAGUUGGCACGACAAUCAAAGCCAGAUUCUGCUUGACACUUCCUUCCUAAGUGAUAGUGCUGCAAGAUGUGCUCUGUAAUGUAAUAAAUUGGGAGCUCUGCCCUCAAGAUUUCAGACUGAUGAGAAAUUUCUAUGACAAAUCCAUCGCUUAAACUAUCUCUGUCCUUCAGUCUUCACGCCUGCUUGAGCCCAGGGGGGUCAAAGGCUAAUUACCAAACAGGAUAAGAGGCAGAGGAGGAGAAAGACAGCACAUUCAUAUUUUUAAAAGGUGUAAAUUUAUGCAGAUUAUUGCUAAGAGUGAAAUGUCUUUUAACUCUAAUUUAAGAGGAAGAAGCUUGACGUGAAUCCAUGGACGGGAGCUAGCAAACUUUAACAGCAUGUCACUGUUGAUACUUAACUUUGGUUUGUUU
Long non-coding RNA from Astatotilapia calliptera (eastern happy), 1288 nucleotides. The record is from Ensembl. Lineage: Eukaryota; Metazoa; Chordata; Actinopteri; Cichliformes; Cichlidae.